GUGGGGAAUAUUGCACAAUGGGGGGAACCCUGAUGCAGCCAUGCCGCGUGAAUGAAGAAGGCCUUCGGGUUGUAAAGUUCUUUCGGUGAUGAGGAAGGGUGAUGUUUUAAUAGAGCAUUACAUUGACGUUAGUCACAGAAGAAGCACCGGCUAACUCCGUGCCAGCAGCCGCGGUAAUACGGAGGGUGCGAGCGUUAAUCGGAAUGACUGGGCGUAAAGGGCACGCAGGCGGUGACUUAAGUGAGAUGUGAAAGCCCCGAGCUUAACUUGGGAAUUGCAUUUCAUACUGGGUGGCUAGAGUAUUUUAGGGAGGGGUAGAAUUCCACGUGUAGCGGUGAAAUGCGUAGAGAUGUGGAGGAAUACCGAAGGCGAAGGCAGCCCCUUGGGAAAAUACUGACGCUCAUGUGCGAAAGCGUGGGGAGCAAACAGGAUUAGAAACCCCAGUAGUCC
RNAcentral lists this ribosomal RNA (450 nucleotides) under uncultured bacterium. Its description in RNAcentral is "bacterial SSU rRNA". It matches the Rfam family "Bacterial small subunit ribosomal RNA", at positions 354 to 796 of the family's 1533-position model. The record is from RNAcentral.